AACGCACAUUGCGCCCGCCAGCAUUCUGGCGGGCAUGCCUGUUCGAGCGUCGUUUCAACCCUCAAGCCUUGGGCUUGGUGUUGGGGCGCUGCGCCUCUGGCGCAGGCCCCUAAAUACAUUGGCAGGGCCGCUGUAGGUUCCGGGCGCAGUAGUUGCUAUCGCCCUAGGACUUAGGCGGCCCCCGCCAUAAAGCUCCUCUCUGAAAGUCGACCUCGGAUCAGGUAGGGAUACCCGCUGAACUUAA
Molecule: unclassified non-coding RNA, 244 nt
Filed under: uncultured fungus
Lineage: Eukaryota; Fungi
Description: partial contains 5.8S ribosomal RNA, internal transcribed spacer 2, and large subunit ribosomal RNA
Source: RNAcentral